UUUCCGCAGGUGAACCUGCGGAAGGAUCAUUAAUGUGUUUGGGCCUCACGGCUCUUCAUUCCGACGCUGUGCGCCUUCGGGCUGCACGCUGAGGGAGCAUAUAUCCACCCCUGUGCACACACACGGUGGCGGGCUGGGUAACGGCUCGCCGCUGAUCUUUACACACGUCUAAAAGUCAUUGUAUGUUUAUUUGAGAUAAAAACACAACUUUCAGCAACGGAUCUCUUGGCUCUC
This 234-nucleotide unclassified non-coding RNA is filed under the name plant metagenome. RNAcentral describes it as "partial contains small subunit ribosomal RNA, internal transcribed spacer 1, and 5.8S ribosomal RNA". The record is from RNAcentral.